AUGCCAGGCCAUGAUAAGACUUUUGCGGACAGACGACGAUGGAUGCAUAUCGACAAAUAUACCAGAGAGCUAGUAUCACAGCUUAGAGAGAACAAUGUGAACCUGAGCAAAGUUUACAGUACUCUUGCAACUUUUUUUGGGAGGGUCGAAAAUGUGCCGUUCACCAAAAGGUGCCUCAGGACAUUAUGUGGGAAGCUGAGCAGGGAGCAGGCCGAUGACGAUGUACGGAAGACGAUGGCAAUUUUUUCAGAGAUGAAGGUCCAAGACAGCGAGUUCAGUUACAAUGUGCAGGUAGAUGAUGAAAGUAGAAUACGUACUCUCAUGUGGACGAAUGGACGUAGCAAAAAACAAUACCACCAUUUUGGCGAUGUGGUGACGUUCGACACCACAUACAAGACUAAUCUAUACGAUAUGCCAUUCGGUAUUUUUGUUGGCGUGAACAACCACUUUCAAAGUGUGCUGUAUGCUGGUGUGCUCAUGCGAGAUGAGACGGUCGACACUUUCAAAUGGAUUUUUGAUGAGUUUGUGAAGAUGAUGGGAGGGAAAAGACCAAUUACCAUUUUAACAGACCAAGCGAGGGCGAUGGAAGUCGCUAUUGAGGACGUAUAUCCGGAUGCAACACAGAGAUGGUGCAAGUGGCACAUCCUGAAGAAGGCCAAAGAGAGCCUGGGGUCUAAUUACACCAAGAAAUCUGAUUUCAGGGCAGAAUUCCACAAAUUGGUUCACGAAAUGCUGACUAUAGAGGAGUUUGAGGACAGGUGGGCAGCGUUGCUUGAGAAGUAUUCACUGACUAAGAACACGCACCUGACGCAAAUUUACGAGACAAGGCAGAAAUGGGCCAAGCCAUACUUUGCAGGAAAAUUCUGCGCAAGGCAAACCAGCACUGGGAGGAGUGAGAGCGCCAAUCACAUGUUGAAACAGUAUGUGCCACCUUCUUGCUCAAUGAAUCUGUUUGUCAAGCAGUACAACAAGCUACAGUUUGACCGUGAACAAGAAGAGGGGUUCCAGGAAAAACGAACCAGGCUGAGUGGAGCUGUCUUGAAGGUCAACACCCCACUAGAAAUGCACGCUAGCAAGGUGUACACCAGGAAGAUGUUCGAGAUUUUCGGGGGGAUAUUGUACGAAUCCGGAAGCUAUGAUGUAGAAGAGAUCAUACCAAAACAGAAAUACAUAGUGACACACGUGAAGGCUGAAAAGCGAGAGAAAUGGUUCAAAUGCCGCUACGAGGUCAAUGUGUCUGAUAAUUUGGGGUAUUUCUCCUGCAUAUGCGGCCUGUUCGAGCACAUGGGGAUGGUUUGCUGUCACUCGCUGCAGUCAUGA
RNAcentral lists this ribosomal RNA (1320 nucleotides) under Triticum aestivum (bread wheat). RNAcentral describes it as "partial small subunit ribosomal RNA". Lineage: Eukaryota; Viridiplantae; Streptophyta; Magnoliopsida; Poales; Poaceae. The record is from RNAcentral.